AGAGUUUGAUCCUGGCUCAGAUUGAACGCUGGCGGAAUGCUUUACACAUGCAAGUCGAACGGUAGGGGGGGCAACCCCUUGAGAGUGGCGAACGGGUGAGUAAUAUAUCGGAACGUGCCCAGUCGUGGGGGAUAACGUAGCGAAAGUUACGCUAAUACCGCAUACGAUCUAAGGAUGAAAGCGGGGGAUCGCAAGACCUCGCGCGAUUGGAGCGGCCGAUAUCAGAUUAGGUAGUUGGUGGGGUAAAGGCUCACCAAGCCAACGAUCUGUAGCUGGUCUGAGAGGACGACCAGCCACACUGGAACUGAGACACGGUCCAGACUCCUACGGGAGGCAGCAGUGGGGAAUUUUGGACAAUGGACGCAAGUCUGAUCCAGCCAUUCCGCGUGCAGGAUGAAGGCCCUCGGGUUGUAAACUGCUUUUGUACGGAACGAAAAGGUUUCCAUUAAUACUGGGGGCUCAUGGCGGUACCGUAAGAAUAAGCACCGGCUAACUACGUGCCAGCAGCCGCGGUAAUACGUAGGGUGCAAGCGUUAAUCGGAAUUACUGGGCGUAAAGCGUGCGCAGGCGGUUAUGUAAGACAGAGGUGAAAUCCCCGGGCUCAACCUGGGAACUGCCUUUGUGACUGCAUAGCUAGAGUACGGUAGAGGGGGAUGGAAUUCCGCGUGUAGCAGUGAAAUGCGUAGAUAUGCGGAGGAACACCGAUGGCGAAGGCAAU
This 718-nucleotide ribosomal RNA is filed under the name uncultured Limnohabitans sp. RNAcentral describes it as "bacterial SSU rRNA". It matches the Rfam family "Bacterial small subunit ribosomal RNA", at positions 8 to 725 of the family's 1533-position model. The record is from RNAcentral. Lineage: Bacteria; Pseudomonadati; Pseudomonadota; Betaproteobacteria; Burkholderiales; Comamonadaceae.